Molecule: ribosomal RNA, 404 nt
Filed under: uncultured bacterium
Lineage: Bacteria
Description: bacterial SSU rRNA
Rfam family: Bacterial small subunit ribosomal RNA
Source: RNAcentral
GGAGGAAUAUUGGUCAAUGGACGCAAGUCUGAACCAGCAACGCCGCGUGAAGGACGAAGGCCUUCGGGUCGUAAACUUCUUUUGAGGGAGACGAGCAAGGACGGUAUCCCUCGAAUCAGCCACGGCUAACUACGUGCCAGCAGCCGCGGUAAAACGUAGGUGGCGAGCGUUAUCCGGAUUCAUUGGGCGUAAAGAGCUUGUAGGCGGCGUCAUAAGUUGGACGUGAAAACUCCGGGCUUAACUUGGAGAGGCCGUUCAAUACUGUGAGGCUAGAGGGUGUCAGAGGGAAGUAGAAUUCCUGGUGUAGCAGUGAAAUGCGUAGAUAUCAGGAGGAAUACCCGUGGCGAAGGCGGCUUCCUGGGGCACCACUGACGCUGAGAAGCGAAAGCUAGGGGAGCAAACGG